RNAcentral lists this ribosomal RNA (253 nucleotides) under uncultured bacterium. RNAcentral describes it as "partial 16S ribosomal RNA". It matches the Rfam family "Bacterial small subunit ribosomal RNA", at positions 524 to 776 of the family's 1533-position model. The record is from RNAcentral.
UACGGAGGAUCCGAGCGUUAUCCGGAUUUAUUGGGUUUAAAGGGAGCGUAGACGGUAAUGUAAGUCUGGAGUGAAAGGCGGGGGCCCAACCCCCGGACUGCUCUGGAAACUAUGUUACUAGAGUGCAGGAGAGGUAAGCGGAAUUCCUAGUGUAGCGGUGAAAUGCGUAGAUAUUAGGAGGAACACCAGUGGCGAAGGCGGCUUACUGGACUGUAACUGACGUUGAGGCUCGAAAGCGUGGGGAGCAAACAGG